UAACUAUAAAGUCCAAUUUCAAAGGAAUGCAAAAACCUUAGUAGUAGUAGUUACUUCCAAUAUUUGAAAAAUUUGUUUUUGAUAUUGAUUUGUUUUUCUUAAAACAAAUAGUGGGAGUAUCAUACGCUACUAAACUAUAAUGAAUACAAUUAGUAGUUAUAUAUAUCUCCAAUAUUUUGAAAAAUGUUUUGAUAUUGAUUUGUUUUCUGAAAACAAAUAGUGGGGAUAUCAUAUGCUACUAAUUUCAUUAACUUUGGACUAAUAGUUAUAAUAGGACAAUUUAUUUGAAUGUGAUUAAAUAAAUAAAAUUGAUGAGACCUUAAAAUCCCUCAACCAACAUACAAUAUUAAGUUGAAAGCGUAAGAGUGUUUUGAACACUUUUUCGUGGCCUUCCACCGUGGUAGGCUCCAAUCGUUUAUGACUUGUACACCGCCUUCACCCUAUCAUGGGGAGUGCAAAGUGCAUGCUUAUACUCAGGAGGAGUUUAUUUAAAACAUUUGAUGAGGUUAAGGUAGGCAACGAGUGUAGCCAACAUCGUAUCAUCGUGAGGUCAUACUUGAACCCCUAUCUAAACCGGCAUGGUGGGAAAGAACUUAACUAAGAGAAAUGAUGCCAACAUCGUAUCAUCG
RNAcentral lists this long non-coding RNA (629 nucleotides) under Malus domestica (apple). RNAcentral describes it as "long non-coding RNA (MDOM_LNC021133)". Lineage: Eukaryota; Viridiplantae; Streptophyta; Magnoliopsida; Rosales; Rosaceae. The record is from RNAcentral.